CGCUAGCGGUAGGCUUAACACAUGCAAGUCGAGGGGCAACAGAGCUGUUUACAGUUGCUGACGACCGGCGCACGGGUGCGUAACACGUAUAUAACCUGCCUUACACAGGAGGAUAGCCCUGAGAAAUUGGGAUUAAUACUCCAUGGAAUUUAGAUAUCGCAUGAUAUUUAACUUAAAACUCCGGUGGUGUAAGAGGAUAUGCGUCCGAUUAGCUAGAUGGUGAGGUAACGGCUUACCAUGGCGACGAUAGGUAGGGGUCCUGAGAGGGAGAUCCCCCACACUGGUACUGAGACACGGACCAGACUCCUACGGGAGGCAGCAGUGAGGAAUAUUGGUCAAUGGAGGCAACUCUGAACCAGCCAUGCCGCGUGAAGGAAGACGGUCCUAUGGAUUGUAAACUUCUUUU
RNAcentral lists this ribosomal RNA (406 nucleotides) under uncultured prokaryote. RNAcentral's name for it is "bacterial SSU rRNA". It matches the Rfam family "Bacterial small subunit ribosomal RNA", at positions 34 to 437 of the family's 1533-position model. The record is from RNAcentral.